RNAcentral lists this ribosomal RNA (253 nucleotides) under uncultured bacterium. RNAcentral's name for it is "partial 16S ribosomal RNA". It matches the Rfam family "Bacterial small subunit ribosomal RNA", at positions 524 to 776 of the family's 1533-position model. The record is from RNAcentral.
UACGAAGGGUGCAAACGUUAUUCGGAAUCACUGGGCGUAAAGGGUGCGUAGACGGCUUAUUAAGUUCGUCGUUAAAGGCUCCGGCCCAACCGGAGUAUUGCGAUGAAAACUGGUAAACUAGAGGGUGAGAGAGAGAAGUGGAAUUCCCGGAGUAGCGGUAAAAUGCGUGGAUCUCGGGAGGAACACCAAUGGCGAAGGCAGCUCGCUGGGACGGUACUGACGCUGAGACGCGAAAGCGUGGGGAGCGAACAGG